AGGGGAAGCAGAAGGCGGAGAGCCCUCCAUCCGAUCAUGAUUCCACCCCCGGAGGGUCCCUACCUCCGUUCCAGCAGAAGACCCUCGAGACUCACAGUCGAGAGGACCUCCUGAAUCAAAGAUUCUAGGAGAUGAACAGAUGGAUCGAAGAGCUCCAUCAUGCUCCCACUGCUUACGGUGAGGAUAUCUGUACUGACCCUCCUUUCUCUCAAAUGAUCAUAACCAAUCUCACCGAACUUCAAGCUCCCUCAAUUUGAAAGCUACGAUGGGACC
RNAcentral lists this long non-coding RNA (273 nucleotides) under Elaeis guineensis (African oil palm). RNAcentral describes it as "long non-coding RNA (EGUI_LNC076449)". The record is from RNAcentral. Lineage: Eukaryota; Viridiplantae; Streptophyta; Magnoliopsida; Arecales; Arecaceae.